AUACCGCAUAAUGUCGCAAGACCAAAGUGGGGGACCUUCGGGCCUCAUGCCAUCAGAUGUGCCCAGAUGGGAUUAGCUAGUAGGUGGGGUAACGGCUCACCUAGGCGACGAUCCCUAGCUGGUCUGAGAGGAUGACCAGCCACACUGGAACUGAGACACGGUCCAGACUCCUACGGGAGGCAGCAGUGGGGAAUAUUGCACAAUGGGCGCAAGCCUGAUGCAGCCAUGCCGCGUGUGUGAAGAAGGCCUUCGGGUUGUAAAGCACUUUCAGCGGGGAGGAAGGCGUUAAGGUUAAUAACCUUGGCGAUUGACGUUACCCGCAGAAGAAGCACCGGCUAACUCCGUGCCAGCAGCCGCGGUAAUACGGAGGGUGACAGGUCCGUUAAUCGGAAUUACUGGGCGUAAAGCGCACGCAGGCGGUCUGUCAAGUCGGAUGUGAAAUCCCCGGGCUCAACCUGGGAACUGCAUUCGAAACUGGCAGGCUAGAGUCUUGUAGAGGGGGGUAGAAUUCCAGGUGUAGCGGUGAAAUGCGUAGAGAUCUGGAGGAAUACCGGUGGCGAAGGCGGCCCCCUGGACAAAGACUGACGCUCAGGUGCGAAAGCGUGGGGAGCAAACAGGAUUAGAUACCCUGGUAGUCCACGCCGUAAACGAUGUCGAUUUGGAGGUUGUGCCCUUGAGCGCGUGGCUUCCGGAGCUAACGCGUUAAAUCGACCGCCUGGGGAGUACGGCCGCAGGUUAAAACUCAAAUGAAUUGACGGGGGCCCGCACAAGCGGUGGAGCAUGUGGUUUAAUUCGAUGCAACGCGAAGAACCUUACCUGGUCUUGACAUCCACAGAACUUUCCAGAGAUGGAUUGGUGCCUUCGGGAACUGUGAGACAGGUGCUGCAUGGCUGUCGUCAGCUCGUGUUGUGAAAUGUUGGGUUAAGUCCCGCAACGAGCGCAACCCUUAUCCUUUGUUGCCAGCGGUUCAGGCCGGGAACUCAAAGGAGACUGCCAGUGAUAAACUGGAGGAAGGUGGGGAUGACGUCAAGUCAUCAUGGCCCUUACGACCAGGGCUACACACGUGCUACAAUGGCAUAUACAAAGAGAAGCGACCUCGCGAGAGCAAGCGGACCUCAUAAAGUAUGUCGUAGUCCGGAUUGGAGUCUGCAACUCGACUCCAUGAAGUCGGAAUCGCUAGUAAUCGUAGAU
This 1191-nucleotide ribosomal RNA is filed under the name Klebsiella pneumoniae. RNAcentral describes it as "bacterial SSU rRNA". It matches the Rfam family "Bacterial small subunit ribosomal RNA", at positions 166 to 1349 of the family's 1533-position model. Lineage: Bacteria; Pseudomonadati; Pseudomonadota; Gammaproteobacteria; Enterobacterales; Enterobacteriaceae. The record is from RNAcentral.